GCGGCGUGCUUGAUACAUGCAAGUCAAGGAGAACGUUUUCUUCGGAAAAUUAUUAAACUGGCGAACGGGUGAGUAACACGUAGGUAACCUGCCGUAAAGAUUGGGAUAACUUCGGGAAACCGGAGCUAAUACCGAAUAAAGCAUUUAAUUCGCAUGAAUUUUAUGUUAAAGUGGGCUUCGGCUUACACUUUAUGAUGGGCCUGCGUCCGAUUAGCUAGUUGGUAAGGUAAUGGCUUACCAAGGCGAUGAUCGGUAGCUGGUCUGAGAGGAUGAUCAGCCACACUGGGAUUGAGAUACGGCCCAGACUCCUACGGGAGGCAGCAGUAAGGAAUUUUGCACAAUGGACGAAAGUCUGAUGCAGCAACGCCGCGUGAUCGAUGAAGCUUCUAGGAGUGUAAAGAUCUGUCGUGAGGGAAGAAAAAUUUAGAUGUAAAUAAUGUUUAAACUUGACGGUACCUUACAAGAAAGCACCGGCUAACUUCGU
This 484-nucleotide ribosomal RNA is filed under the name uncultured bacterium. RNAcentral's name for it is "bacterial SSU rRNA". It matches the Rfam family "Bacterial small subunit ribosomal RNA", at positions 39 to 506 of the family's 1533-position model. The record is from RNAcentral.